RNAcentral lists this ribosomal RNA (793 nucleotides) under uncultured bacterium. RNAcentral's name for it is "bacterial SSU rRNA". It matches the Rfam family "Bacterial small subunit ribosomal RNA", at positions 8 to 796 of the family's 1533-position model. The record is from RNAcentral.
AGAGUUUGAUCCUGGCUCAGGAUGAACGCUAGCGGCAGGCUUAAUACAUGCAAGUCGUGGGGCAGCGCGGGUAGCAAUACCUGGCGGCGACCGGCAAACGGGUGAGGAACAUGUACGCAACCUUCCUUUAACUGGAGAAUAGCCCCUCGAAAGAGGGAUUAAUACUCCGUAACGUUUCGACACAGCAUUGUGUUGAAAUUAUAGCUCCGGCGGUUAAAGAUGGGCGUGCACCUGAUUAGAUAGUUGGCGGGGUAACGGCCCACCAAGUCUGCGAUCAGUAACUGGUGUGAGAGCACGACCAGUCACACGGGCACUGAGACACGGGUCCGACUCCUACGGGAGGCAGCAGUAAGGAAUAUUGGUCAAUGGACGCAAGUCUGAACCAGCCAUGCCGCGUGGAGGAUUAAGGCCCUCUGGGUUGUAAACUCCUUUUAUCUGGGAAGAAAUGCUUCGAUUCUUCGAAGCUUGACGGUACCAGAGGAAUAAGCACCGGCUAACUCCGUGCCAGCAGCCGCGGUAAUACGGAGGGUGCAAGCGUUAUCCGGAUUCACUGGGUUUAAAGGGUGCGUAGGCGGGCAGGUAAGUCAGUGGUGAAAUCUCCGGGCUUAACCCGGAAACUGCCGUUGAUACUAUUUGUCUUGAAUAUUGUGGAGGUAAGCGGAAUAUGUCAUGUAGCGGUGAAAUGCUUAGAUAUGACAUAGAACACCAAUUGCGAAGGCAGCUUACUACACAACAAUUGACGCUGAGGCACGAAAGCGUGGGGAUCAAACAGGAUUAGAUACCCUGGUAGUCC